GCUGAUACAUCCUGGCCAAUCUCCAGAAGACCCUCCCUCCCAGACCCUCCCACCUCCUGGACAGCAUCCAUGUUGAAGCUGCCUUCAACAUGGAUGCUGUCCAGGAGGUGGGAGGGUCUGGGAGGGAGGGUCUUCUGGAGAUUGGCCGGGAUGUGUCAG
This 159-nucleotide microRNA precursor is filed under the name Pelobates cultripes (western spadefoot toad). Lineage: Eukaryota; Metazoa; Chordata; Amphibia; Anura; Pelobatidae. The record is from RNAcentral.